AGAGUUUGAUCAUGGCUCAGGACGAACGCUGGCGGCGUGCCUAAUACAUGCAAGUUGAGCGCUGAAGGUUGGUACUUGUACCAACUGGAUGAGCAGCGAACGGGUGAGUAACGCGUGGGGAAUCUGCCUUUGAGCGGGGGACAACAUUUGGAAACGAAUGCUAAUACCGCGUAAAAACUUUAAACACAAGUUUUAAGUUUGAAAGAUGCAAUUGCAUCACUCAGAGAUGAUCCCGCGUUGUAUUAGCUAGUUGGUGAGGUAAAGGCUCACCAAGGCGAUGAUACAUAGCCGACCUGAGAGGGUGAUCGGCCACAUUGGGACUGAGACACGGCCCAAACUCCUACGGGAGGCAGCAGUAGGGAAUCUUCGGCAAUGGACGAAAGUCUGACCGAGCAACGCCGCGUGAGUGAAGAAGGUUUUCGGAUCGUAAAACUCUGUUGGUAGAGAAGAACGUUGGUGAGAGUGGAAAGCUCAUCAAGUGACGGUAACUACCCAGAAAGGGACGGCUAACUACGUGCCAGCAGCCGCGGUAAUACGUAGGUCCCGAGCGUUGUCCGGAUUUAUUGGGCGUAAAGCGAGCGCAGGUGGUUUAUUAAGUCUGGUGUAAAAGGCAGUGGCUCAACCAUUGUAUGCAUUGGAAACUGGUAGACUUGAGUGCAGGAGAGGAGAGUGGAGUUCCAUGUGUAGCGGUGAAAUGCGUAGAUAUAUGGAGGAACACCGGUGGCGAAAGCGGCUCUCUGGCCUGUAACUGACACUGAGGCUCGAAAGCGUGGGGAGCAAACAGGAUUAGAUACCCUGGUAGUCC
This 805-nucleotide ribosomal RNA is filed under the name uncultured bacterium. Its description in RNAcentral is "bacterial SSU rRNA". It matches the Rfam family "Bacterial small subunit ribosomal RNA", at positions 8 to 796 of the family's 1533-position model. The record is from RNAcentral.